UACGGAGGGAGCUAGCGUUGUUCGGAAUUACUGGGCGUAAAGCGCACGUAGGCGGCGAUUUAAGUCAGAGGUGAAAGCCCGGGGCUCAACCCCGGAACUGCCUUUGAGACUGGAUUGCUUGAAUCCUGGAGAGGUGAGUGGAAUUCCGAGUGUAGAGGUGAAAUUCGUAGAUAUUCGCAAGAACACCAGUGGCGAAGGCGGCUCACUGGCCCGAUACUGACGCUGAGGCACGAAAGCGUGGGGAGCAAACAGG
RNAcentral lists this ribosomal RNA (253 nucleotides) under uncultured bacterium. RNAcentral describes it as "partial 16S ribosomal RNA". It matches the Rfam family "Bacterial small subunit ribosomal RNA", at positions 524 to 776 of the family's 1533-position model. The record is from RNAcentral.